This 71-nucleotide transfer RNA is filed under the name Paludisphaera borealis. It matches the Rfam family "tRNA". From Rfam's summary of the family: Transfer RNA (tRNA) molecules are approximately 80 nucleotides in length. Their secondary structure includes four short double-helical elements and three loops (D, anti-codon, and T loops). The record is from Rfam by way of RNAcentral. Lineage: Bacteria; Pseudomonadati; Planctomycetota; Planctomycetia; Isosphaerales; Isosphaeraceae.
GCGGGUGUAGCUCAAUGGUAGAGUCCCUGCCUUCCAAGCAGGCCGUGUGGGUUCGAUUCCCAUCACCCGCU